This 253-nucleotide ribosomal RNA is filed under the name uncultured bacterium. RNAcentral describes it as "partial 16S ribosomal RNA". It matches the Rfam family "Bacterial small subunit ribosomal RNA", at positions 524 to 776 of the family's 1533-position model. The record is from RNAcentral.
GACGUAGGGGGCGAGCGUUAUCCGGAAUUAUUGGGCGUAAAGAGCGUGUAGGCGGCUUGGUAGGUCCGCUGUGAAAACUCGAGGCUCAACCUCGAGAUGUCGGCGGAAACCACUUGGCUAGAGUCCGGAAGAGGAGAGUGGAAUUCCCGGUGUAGCGGUGAAAUGCGCAGAUAUCGGGAAGAACACCUAUGGCGAAGGCAGCUCUCUGGGACGGUACUGACGCUGAGACGCGAAAGCGUGGGGAGCGAACAGG